Mus musculus (house mouse) is the source of this 225-nucleotide long non-coding RNA. RefSeq annotates it as predicted gene, 52402. NCBI's taxonomy places the organism in Eukaryota, Metazoa, Chordata, Mammalia, Rodentia, Muridae. The transcript is spliced from 3 exons. The record is from RefSeq and is a predicted model, not a curated record.
GGAGCCUUUAGAGGAGAGGUGCAGAGCACGACACAAACGCUGCUGAGUGUUCUGGAAGUUAUCCAGGAAACAAUCCAGAACAUGACCUCCACGAGAAGUGAGGGGUUAUGAGGUGAGCACUCGUUGCAGAUCCGGGGUUCAGGAAAGACUCAGCGCUCACAGGUAUACUGAAAAAAAUUUCCAAUUCUCUUCAAUCUGAAGAAAUACAUCCUACAAGGCACAUCA